This 486-nucleotide ribosomal RNA is filed under the name uncultured bacterium. RNAcentral describes it as "partial 16S ribosomal RNA". It matches the Rfam family "Bacterial small subunit ribosomal RNA", at positions 28 to 507 of the family's 1533-position model. The record is from RNAcentral.
AUUGAACGCUGGCGGUAUGCCUUACACAUGCAAGUCGAACGGCAGCACGGGAGCUUCUUGCUGGUGCGGGUUGCGGGUCGCGUGCGUAUUACGUAGACACCUGUCUCGACGUUUGCGUUGGGGCGGCCGAAGCCGGACUUAUACUGCUUCCGAAUACGGGCUGCGAGUGGGGGCACGUCAGGUUCCGCCCUUUAGCGUUGGACGAUGGCGGAUUCGGUAGUUGGGGGGGGAAAGGCCGACCAAGGCGACGACCAGUAGCCGGUCUGAGAGGAGGAGCAGCCACACUGGGAAUGAGACACGGCGCAGACUCCUACGGGAGGGAGAAGUGGGGAAUUUUGGACAAUGGGCGAAAGCCUGAUCCAGCAAUGCCGCGUGUGUGAAGAAGGCCUUCGGGUUGUAAAGCACUUUUGUGCGGAAAGAAAACCUUAGCCCUAAUACGGUCGGGUGAUGACGGUACCGGAAGAAUAAGCACCGGCUAACUACGUG